CCCUGCAGCUCCGUAUAAUACGGUGCCUCGACUGCGACCCCAGGUCAGGCGGACACCCGCUGAGGUUG
Molecule: ribosomal RNA, 68 nt
Filed under: Maesa indica
Lineage: Eukaryota; Viridiplantae; Streptophyta; Magnoliopsida; Ericales; Primulaceae
Description: partial 28S ribosomal RNA
Source: RNAcentral